Molecule: ribosomal RNA, 253 nt
Filed under: uncultured bacterium
Lineage: Bacteria
Description: partial 16S ribosomal RNA
Rfam family: Bacterial small subunit ribosomal RNA
Source: RNAcentral
UACGUAGGGGGCUAGCGUUGUCCGGAAUCAUUGGGCGUAAAGCGCGCGUAGGCGGCCCGUUAAGCCGGAUGUGAAAACCCAGGGCUCAACCCUGGGCCUGCAUCCGAUACUGGCGGGCUCGAGGCAGGUAGGGGAGAGCGGAAUUCCCGGUGUAGCGGUGAAAUGCGCAGAUAUCGGGAGGAACACCGGUGGCGAAGGCGGCUCUCUGGGCCUGUCCUGACGCUCAGGCGCGAAAGCUAGGGGAGCAAACAGG